CUAAACUUUAUUGCCUCCUUUUUAAACUUGUAUUUACUCAGUGGAACAAGUUCCUGUGGAGCCAUACUACAUUCCUCUGUCUCAAGCUGAGGUACUUCAGGAGGGAAGUGAUGUUACACUGGUUGCCUGGGGGACUCAGGUGCAUGUAAUCAGAGAGGUGGCAACCAUGGCUCAGGAUAAGCUAGGCGUGUCCUGUGAAGUAAUUGACCUGAAGACCAUUUUACCUUGGGAUAAUGAGACUGUUUGCAAGUCAGUGGCAAAGACUGGACGACUGCUGAUCAGCCACGAGGCCCCUCUGACAGGAGGGUUUGCAUCUGAGAUUAGUUCCACUGUUCAGAGUGGGAAUCAACUUUAUAAACAUCAGCCACCUGUCUAGAAUCCCUGAAAGCCUAGAUGCACCAUUUAGUAAAUGCUGAAGUUGUAACAGAUUCUGUCCAAAUUGAAGAGUGCUUCCUAAACCUAGAGGCUCCUAUUUCAAGAGUAUGUGGCUACGACACUCCUUUCCCUCAUAUCUUUGAACCUUUCUACAUCCCAGACAAAUGGAAAUGCUAUGAUGCUGUUCGAAAAAUGAUUAAUUAUUGAUAAAAUUAUUGCUGAAGCCUACAUGCAUUCUAACCAGAAGAUGGGAGGAAUAACAAGAAUAUACAGAAGCCUUCUUUAGAACUCUUGGCAUUUAUUCAGUUCUGUGUGUUCUGGAAGUCGUAUAGCAGAUUAUCUUUUCUGAAGUAAACCCAGUCUAAAUGUCAUCUUGGCUAAUCUUCAAAAGCUCAGAUUUCUUCCUAAUUAUGAAAUCAAUGAUGGACAGGUGAUAGCUGUAAUAAAUAGUUUCAGAUGUAUUAAAAAAAUAAAUUCCAGAUGUAGUAUGAACUUUAUUCACUUUGCAGUGCUUCGCUAGGACACAUCUUUAAAUGACUUCACUGUAUAAAUAUUAUGUGGGAUUUUAUUCAAUAAAACAUAUUGUACUCA
Non-coding RNA from Pelodiscus sinensis (Chinese soft-shelled turtle), 966 nucleotides. NCBI's taxonomy places the organism in Eukaryota, Metazoa, Chordata, Testudines, Trionychidae. The record is from RefSeq and is a predicted model, not a curated record.